Molecule: long non-coding RNA, 212 nt
Organism: Eubalaena glacialis (North Atlantic right whale)
Lineage: Eukaryota; Metazoa; Chordata; Mammalia; Artiodactyla; Balaenidae
Exons: 3
Source: RefSeq, a predicted model, not a curated record
ACGGGGCCGCCGACCAGCCCAAGGUCACACAGCCACGUGGGUCCCUCCCGGCCCGAGCGCCGGUGUCUCAGUUCACAAUGAAGGGAGCAAAGUGUUGCCUCCGAAUCUGUUACAGGGCCUUUUCCUAGAAGACCAGGGGGCUGAAGACAAAGGCUCACGUGAUUCCAGGGGACCCACCCGGCUAAUCCAGGAUAAUCUCCCCAUUUCAAGGU